Molecule: long non-coding RNA, 1825 nt
Organism: Amphiprion ocellaris (clown anemonefish)
Lineage: Eukaryota; Metazoa; Chordata; Actinopteri; Pomacentridae
Exons: 2
Source: RefSeq, a predicted model, not a curated record
GUCACCCUCCACCUAACCGACAUGAAAACACAACACGAACCCGACCUGCGGCUUUCAGCGAAGCUCCUCCUGAUGGAAUAGUACACUUUGUCCUCAUGUGGAUUUCUCUGCAGAGCUGCAUCCCCACACUGAAUGACAAUGGCUGCCGUGAAGGUCAACUCGGCUUUUUGGCUGGAGUUGACCUGGAGGGGUUCAGCUGGGUGUUUUUGAACCUCAUACACAUUGUGAGAUACUUAGCUGGUACAUUUAGUUCACCCUAUAGAGGUAUGAGCACCUGGAUGGCAGUAAAGCAGCAUUAUUCCAUCCUCACUGUGUGCUGAGCAGAGCAGCAGGCUGCUCAUCUGAUCUGGAAUCUGCUGUUUGUCGGGUUCUUUCCAUACUAGUAGAAAACACGUGUUAGUGUUAGUAAUGUGUUAGUUUUUAAAGCAGUGCAACUUCUUCACUCCUCCUCCACAGAGAAAGGAAACACGCGUGUCCUCUAUGCUGUUUUAAGGUUCCUUUACUUAACUUACUUACUUACUCUUACUUACUUAUAAUAAUCAGUGUGCAGCGUGUUCGUGUGGUUACGUGGAUGUGACCUUCAUUAGUCUGUGGGUUGCGUGGAAACAUGGUUGCCUCUGUCGGUCACGUGGUGUGUGCGUGUGACGGUAGUCUAAUGUAAAGAGCUGAGGCACGCGACGCGCUACAUGUCCACAGUUGUUGUGAGCGCCACGAGCCGGUCGGUGGGCGAAGCUUCUGUCAUCCGGUCAGGUACCGGGACUUAACCGGGAGUGAUAAACGGAGAACUUGCCGGUGUUAAAAGCGGACAGAGCUAAGAACCGUGUCCUCUGCAGUCCCUCUCCAUCCCUCAUGGUGUGUGGGAACGCCUAGGUCAGUCCACGGUCACGCUUACCACCUCAUGUCGCCAUUUUCAGUACGGUCUAUGGUCGGAAAUAAUCUGACUUAAUGGAAACGUGAGGAAAGUAAUAAUGACAGGUCAGAAGGUGUAUCAUGGCAGGGUGUCCUCCCUCCUGCUGGGCCUCUGGGGUUCAGAGAUCAGACUGAAGUCCACUCUGGACUCGAAGACUUUCUUCACUCCAGUGGUCCCACUUAACCAGAGGAGGGUAUCAUGGGCUAAUCCCGACUUCCUGACCUGAGCCCCCUCACCUGUCGUGAAUUUUUACCACCUUACCCCACCCCAGCUCAUACGUUCAGAUGAGCCGAUUAGCAGGUAUAAAUAACAGGCUGCAGGAAGCCGGGUCAGAGGCCAGGGGACAGGAUUAGCUCCUGAGAAUAUGAGGAGUUUAAUACCCUCGACACUGGACGUGACGGAGCUCUGUGGCCCAGACUUCUACAAGAGCAACCAGGUGAUCAUUUGACAGUGUUUGCAUUGCAGUGAACAUGGCCUCAGUAUUCACUGUUCAUCAGAAUGUCUUCAGGGAUUAGUGUGCAGUAAAGACUAUGACCCUGUAUUACUUUAUUCAACAGAAAUGAAAGCAUUGUCCUUUUUAUUUCUGACCAUUUUAUAAACAAAAAUGUAUCUAAUCCUUGAUCAAAUUAAACUACAAGUAACAAAACUGAUUACAUUUUUUAAAAUUAGUGCCAAAGGUUCCUCUGUGCAGAGAUGUGUCCUCUUUGUGUUACAUUCACUGCACUUCACUUGUGAAUGUUGUUCAGCUUGAACUUCGUGUUUGUUUGAGUUGUGGGUCUUUGUCUAAUGGUUCAAGUGAAAGCUGAUGUGUCGACUUUGAUUCCAAGAUUUCGUGUAAUAAACUAUUUGCCUGCUUUUUUUCCUGGAUUUGCAUCAGGGAAUGCAAUGCUGAGCCAAACUAAAGCAAAGGUUUUA